This 253-nucleotide ribosomal RNA is filed under the name uncultured bacterium. Its description in RNAcentral is "partial 16S ribosomal RNA". It matches the Rfam family "Bacterial small subunit ribosomal RNA", at positions 524 to 776 of the family's 1533-position model. The record is from RNAcentral.
UACAGAGGGGGCAAGCGUUGUUCGGAAUUACUGGGCGUAAAGGGCGCGUAGGCGGCCUGCUAAGUCGGAUGUGAAAUCCCUCGGCUCAACCGAGGAACUGCAUCCGAUACUGGCGGGCUUGAAUCCGGGAGAGGGAUGUGGAAUUCCAGGUGUAGCGGUGAAAUGCGUAGAUAUCUGGAGGAACACCGGUGGCGAAGGCGGCAUCCUGGACCGGUAUUGACGCUGAGGCGCGAAAGCCAGGGGAGCAAACGGG